UAACCCACUGCCUCAUCUCGAUCCUUCCUCGUUACACUAUCCUAGAAACCCACCGACUCAUAACCUCUUCAACAUCAGACUCAUCGAUCUUCAACAUCAAACGAACCCGUCACCGCCUUCCCUUCUCUCUCCCGACGUCGACCUAGAGUAGCCGGAGGAACAGUAUGUUGAUGUUCCGAUUUAGAUCAGACAUACGAUGAGUUUGAGGCUUUCUCUAACAUGCACUUAGUUUACUCUAAUCUCCCAUAAGCACGUUGAACCAUGGGAGUCCGUCGACCAUAGAAACGACGACUCACCGACUGCCUCUUUGUUCUCGGUUGUGUUUGUUUCUAAUCUGCAGUGGUCUUCCUCCGGUUGCAGAUCAUAGUCGACACUCCAGAUUUUGUGUUUCAAGCGGCCUCGAAAUAUCUUCCGUCCUUCCAGACUAUUACUAUUGCUGGCCUCCUACGGCGUCCACCAACUAGAAAUAUGUUUCCCGUUCCAUAUCCUCAGCCGGCAACCCACCCGCUGCGGAUUCCCCGGUUUCAACCUCUCAUGUGACGAACAAAACCAAACAAUCAUCUGACUUCCGUCAUCCCGCUCAUACAUCGUCAAUAGAAUUUCCUACGUUUCACAGAUCCAGAAUAUCUCCUGUUUCCAAAUCUGAGUCUCUGAAUUCAUCUGCAUGAACAUCAACUAUCUCUGAUUCCAAGUUGAACUUUUUGGGUCAAUUGCGUCCCAGAUAAACGAGAUCACGAUUUUCUGGAUGUGUCGCUACUCCUCCUCCCUCGAGUUCAAUGAAAACUUCAGCUACAACGGACCACGUUUAUGAUAUUGACAAACAAAUUCGACAACUGAAAAAGAAGAUUCUAUUGAUGGAGGCUCAACAACAGAAAGCAGGGUGUGGUCAUGAUCCAAAACAAGAACAAGUCGAGAAGGUUGCUAAAUUUGAAGAUUGGAGGAAAGAAUUGAGACUUCUGUUGGAUGCUUCUCUAGGAUCACUAUAAAGGCAUUUUUGUUGGGAUAAAAAAGGGUCUAUAUGAAAGAAAAUGUUUUCUUCACUGCUUGACCUGAUGAGGUAAUUAAGUUUGAGGAUCUUAAAGAGUUGGGAAGUGUGCCUGCUAUUAAGCAAUCAGCUAUGAAGGAAUAGAAAACUGAUAUACAAAAUGUCAAAAAAAGGGUUUUUUUGGUGGAAAAAGAAUAGUGUAAUUGAAAUACAUGGAAAAGGAAAUGUUGGAUGAGAUCAGAUAAUCAAAACAGUGGAUGUCCAAGUCAGUCCUUUGUUUUUUUUCUCACUUUUGCUAAUCAUAGUGCCAGAUCCACCUCUAUCUAUGAAAUCAGGUAUGUUCACUAAUUUGUUGCCUUUUUAAUUUGUUUUUCUAGAUUUGAGAACGUUUGGUUUGCUGUUUGUUCCCCAGAUUAGUACGGAUAGAUGGGUUUGCGAUUUUAUGAGCACACAGAUUUAGCUACAGUUUUAUGAGUUUUUGGCAAAAAUAUCAUAUGAGGUUAGUUUAAUUAUGUAUUCAGAAUAUUGUUUUUGGUUUUGUCCAUGGAUUCUUUUCUUUAGGGUUCUGACUGGAAGGUGAAGAUUUCUUUUUUUUAUUACUCUCAUUUUUUCCAGUUGGAGCACUAAUAAGAAGAAGACAUCGAUGCGGUUAUUUAAAUAACCUUCCUGCUGCCUUGCUCCACGUUUGAACCAGAUGCCCUGUUAAGGUCGUUGUGUAUCUUUGUGAGAUGGCGGGGGUACGUAUGGUUGAAAGAAGAAAAAGCAAAACACUUGCAGCAACAGAUGGAAGAAGGUAACUCUCAUUGCAACCCGGUUUAAUUCUUUAGAUUUGGAGCUAUAAUUGCAAGGUUGCAACAUUUUUUAUUUUUUGCUAAAUAUUAAACUAAUACUAUCAUUUUGUUUGUUAUAGACCUCCAAUUACAACUACUCAUUUUAAUAAUUGUUUGUUUUAAUAUUGCAUGUCACAUGGAAGCAUUUGAAUAAUUGCGGUAAAUAGCAACAUGCUUUGACUUUUAA
Molecule: non-coding RNA, 2002 nt
Organism: Lactuca sativa (garden lettuce)
Lineage: Eukaryota; Viridiplantae; Streptophyta; Magnoliopsida; Asterales; Asteraceae
Source: RefSeq, a predicted model, not a curated record